UACGUAGGGGGCUAGCGUUGUCCGGAAUCAUUGGGCGUAAAGAGCGUGUAGGCGGUCCGGUAAGUCCGCUGUGAAAGUCGGGGGCUCAACCCUCGAAUGCCGGUGGAUACUGUCGGGCUAGAGUGCGGAAGAGGCGAGUGGAAUUCCUGGUGUAGCGGUGAAAUGCGUAGAUAUCGUAAGGAAGACCAGUGGCGAAGGCGGGUCUCUGGACAGUUCCUGACGCUGAGGCACGAAGGCCAGGGGAGCAAACGGG
RNAcentral lists this ribosomal RNA (253 nucleotides) under uncultured bacterium. RNAcentral describes it as "partial 16S ribosomal RNA". It matches the Rfam family "Bacterial small subunit ribosomal RNA", at positions 524 to 776 of the family's 1533-position model. The record is from RNAcentral.